GAUGAACGCUGGCGGCGUGCCUAAUACAUGCAAGUCGAGCGAACGGACGAGAAGCUUGCUUCUCUGAUGUUAGCGGCGGGCGGGUGAGUAACACGUGGAUAACCUACCUAUCAGACUGGGAUAACUUCGGGAAACCGGCGCUAAUACCGGAUGAUAUUUUGAACCGCAUGGUUGAAAGGUGAAAGACGGUCUUGCUGUCACUAAUAGAUGGUUCCGCGCUGCAUUAGCUAGUUGGUAAGGUAACGGCUUACCAAGGCAACGAGGCAUAGCCGACCUGAGAGGGUGAUCGGCCACACUGGAGCUGAGACGCGGACAAGAGUCCUACGGGAGGCAGCAGUAGGGAAUGUGCCGCAGUAGGCGAAAGCCUGACGGAGCAACGCCACGUGAGUGAUGGAGGUGUUCGGAUCGUGAAACUCUGUUAUGAGGUAUGAACAUAUGUGGAAGGAGCUGUGCAGAGCUUGACGGUACCUAAUCAGGAAGCACCGGCUAACUACGUG
This 497-nucleotide ribosomal RNA is filed under the name uncultured bacterium. Its description in RNAcentral is "partial 16S ribosomal RNA". It matches the Rfam family "Bacterial small subunit ribosomal RNA", at positions 28 to 507 of the family's 1533-position model. The record is from RNAcentral.